GACGAACGCUGGCGGCGUGCUUAACACAUGCAAGUCGAACGGAAAGGCGCGGAUUUUGCUGGGUGCUCGAGUGGCGAGCGGGUGAGUGAAACAUGAGGAAACUGCACCUAAAUUUGUGAGAACUCUAGGAAAAUGGGGCUCAUACCGGAGAUGAGCUCCUGAUGCAUGUGGGGCGUUGGAAAGUGUCGGCGGUUGGGGAUGGUAUCGCGGCUUAUGAGCUUGUUGGGGUGGUAGGGGCUUACAAAGGCUUUGAAGGGUAGCCGGCAUGAGAGGGUUACCGGCCACAUUGGGACUGCGAUACGGCCCAGACUCCUACGGGACGCAGCAGUGGGGAAUAUUGCACAAUGGGCGGAAGCCUGAUGCAGCAACGCCGCGUGCGUGAUGACCGCCUUCGGGUUGUAAACCGCUUUCGCCGGUGCCGAAGCGUGAGUGACGGUAAUGGGUAAAGAAGCACCGGCUAACUACGUG
RNAcentral lists this ribosomal RNA (468 nucleotides) under uncultured bacterium. Its description in RNAcentral is "partial 16S ribosomal RNA". It matches the Rfam family "Bacterial small subunit ribosomal RNA", at positions 28 to 507 of the family's 1533-position model. The record is from RNAcentral.